Oncorhynchus tshawytscha (Chinook salmon) is the source of this 2058-nucleotide long non-coding RNA. NCBI's taxonomy places the organism in Eukaryota, Metazoa, Chordata, Actinopteri, Salmoniformes, Salmonidae. The record is from Ensembl.
GCGUUUUUAUUUUUUUAUUAAGACUUUCUCUCCCAAUUCUAUACCACCAAUUAGCUGUAUUUACACAACUACAUCCAAUCAUAUCCUUUAAAAAAAGACACUGGGUUAAACAUUUAAAAUAAAAAAAAACACAAGUUAUCUACUCUCCGCUACUUCAGAUUACUCUGGGUGUGUGAUAACCCAUACAGUUCUCUGUGCAUCAUGGAACAGAGCACUGUCCACAAAGAUCAGUUUGAAUUUCGACCUUGGGUUUAUUAUUGGAGGAAAAAACAUGAACACAGAACAGAAAUAUUGGAUUGGAUUAAUAUUGUACAUGUAAAGCGUACUUCAUAUAGACCGUGGAUAUGUAGCUGAAUUACAGUACCGCAUUUAGUAAUAUAGAAUAUGUAAGCUGAAUUACAGUACCGCAUUUAGUAAUAUAGAAUAUGUAAGCUGAAUUAGAGUACCACAUUUAGUAAUAUAGAAUAUGUAAGCUGAAUUACAGUACCACAUUUAGUAAUAUAGAAUAUGUAGCUGAAUUACAGUACCGCAUUUAGUAAUAUAGAAUAUGUAGCUGAAUUACAGAUAUUGCAUUUAGUAAUAUAGAAUAUGUAGCUGAAUUACAGAUAUUGCAUUUAGUAAUAUAGAACAUGUAAGCUGAAUUACAGAUAUUGCAUUUAGUAAUAUAGAAUAUGUAAACUGAAUUAGAGUAUCACAUUUAGUAAUAUAGAAUAUGUAAACUGAAUUAGAGUAUCACAUUUAGUAAUAUAGAAUAUGUAAACUGAAUUACAGAAGUGUAUUUAGUUGAACAGCUGCAAUUAUGUGUGACUGGAUAUGAGAAUAAAAUUCAGAAAACUCAAAAACGUACAUACAGCACUACUUAUUAUAAGGUAUAACAUUGUACUACUAAUGUAGGUUAGAAUCAUCCCUUAUGUGAACAUUGACAUCCAAUUUGACAAUAUACAUUGAGGAACUUUAUGGAUUUGAUUUUACAAAAAAAAAAAAAUGUUUUCCAUAAAUCCCUGGAGAUAAAACAUGGGAGACAUAAAAGCCAGAAAACACAUACUCACUCAAAAUGAAUAUGGUCCCUCACCACGAUACAAAGUUAAGAGACGGUGGCCAGGUAUUAAUAUGGUCCCUCACCACGAUACAAAGUUAAGAGACAGUAGCCAGGUAUUAAUAUGGUCCCUCACCACGAUACAAAGUUAAGAGACAGUGGCCAGGUAUUAAUAUUGUCCCUCACCACGAUACAAAGUUAAGAGACAGUGGCCAGGUAUUAAUAUGGUCCCUCACGACGAUACAAAGUUAAGAGACAGUGGCCAGGUAUUAAUAUGGUCCCUCACCACGAUACAAAGUUAAGAGUAGCCAGGUUUUUCAUCCAAUUAGCAACAUAUUUUCACGCAAAUAUUCUAACAUUUGCCAUAAAACAAUAUUCACAUUUUUUUCACACCAGAGAUGUUUUUCCAUCAAACGUAAUUUGUGCGGAUAAAAGACUGUGUGGCGUAGUGCACAUAAAACACACCUUUUUCUCUUCAAUCCCCAAUAGAAGUUCAUUGGGUUUCCAUUGCGUUUUGUGAUGUGAGAGAAGUGUUAUAUAUAGCGAAUGUGUCCACUCUGGUCUCUAGCCAACAGUUCGCAAAUGCAGUGCAUUAUGAGAUGAUUUAUGGAUAAAAGCGAUAUAAUUUUUUUUUCAUUUUGUCAAACGGCAGCCAAGUAUCUAUCAACAUGUCACUGGAAUAAGACCCUGGAUAUGGAUUGGAAAGGCGCAUCAAGCUCAUCACCACCCGGUGAAGUUCAUCAUCAUUUAUUUCAUCUGUAGCUUAAUAAACUGUGUGGUUUCCCGAGUCGUAGUGGGGAGGACUACACAACAUAUCAUCGCCGGACUCCAAGUUGACGUCAAUACGAUGGUUAUUAUAUCAAUAAUUAAGUAUAAAGGCAUUUCCACUACCAUUUCUUGCAUAAUUAAUUUUACCGACACAAAAAAGAUCCCGCCAUGUCGAACGAACAAAUUGUCUGUCGGCAUUUCUACAAAUGUACCAGUAUUUAAUGUUUCCAUAAACCCAGUCGUAACUUCUUUCA